AGGGAGCCUGAGAGACGGCUACCACAUCUAAGGAAGGCAGCAGGCGCGCAAAUUACCCAAUUCUAACAGUUUGAGAGAGGUAGUAACAAGAAAUAACAAUACAAGGCAAUUAAAAUGCUUUGUAAUUGGAAUGAUAGAAAUUUAAACCCUUUUUAAAGUAUCAAUUGGAGGGCAAGUCUGGUGCCAGCAGCCGCGGUAAUUCCAGCUCCAAUAGCGUAUAUUAAAAUUGUUGCAGUUAAAAAGCUCGUAGUUGAAGUUCUGCUAAAAGUAACCGGUCUGCUUUUAAUAAAAGUGGUAUCUUGGUGUGUAUUUAGCAAUGAUGUCCUUUGAAGUGUUUUUUACUUUAUUGUAAUAAAGCAUAUUCAGGACUUUUACUUUGAGAAAAUUAGAGUGUUUCUAGCAGGCCGACGCUUUGAAUACUGCAGCAUGGAAUAAUAAGAUAGGAUUUUAGUUCUACAUUAUUGGUUUUAAGAGCUAAAUUAAUGAUUGAUAGGGACAGUUGGGGGCAUUCGUAUUUAAA
Molecule: ribosomal RNA, 520 nt
Filed under: Hepatozoon canis
Lineage: Eukaryota; Apicomplexa; Hepatozoidae
Description: bacterial SSU rRNA
Rfam family: Eukaryotic small subunit ribosomal RNA
Source: RNAcentral